RNAcentral lists this ribosomal RNA (253 nucleotides) under uncultured Acidobacteriota bacterium. RNAcentral describes it as "uncultured Acidobacteria bacterium partial 16S ribosomal RNA". It matches the Rfam family "Bacterial small subunit ribosomal RNA", at positions 524 to 776 of the family's 1533-position model. The record is from RNAcentral. Lineage: Bacteria; Pseudomonadati; Acidobacteriota.
GACGUAGGGGGCCAGCGUUGUUCGGAAUUACUGGGUGUAAAGGGUCAGUAGGCGGUGUGGCAAGUCGGGAGUGAAAUCUCUGGGCUCAACUCAGAGGCUGCUUCCGAAACUGCUGUGCUUGAGUGUGGGAGAGGCGCGUGGAAUUGCAGGUGUAGCGGUGAAAUGCGUAGAUAUCUGCAGGAACACCCGUGGCGAAAGCGGCGCGCUGGACCACAACUGACGCUGAAUGACGAAAGCUAGGGGAGCAAACAGG